CAAGUCGAGGGGCAGCAUGGUCUUAGCUUGCUAAGGCCGAUGGCGACCGGCGCACGGGUGAGUAACGCGUAUGCAACCUGCCCUUCACAGGGGGAUAACCGGGAGAAAUUCCGACUAAUACCGCAUACGUCCUUUGGGGGCAUCCCCGGGGGAUGAAAGAAUUAUCGGUGAAGGAUGGGCAUGCGUGAUAUUAGGUAGUUGGCGGGGCAACGGCCCACCAAGCCCACGAUAUCUAGGGGUUCUGAGAGGAAGGUCCCCACAUUGGUACUGAGACACGGACCAAACUCC
This 288-nucleotide ribosomal RNA is filed under the name uncultured bacterium. Its description in RNAcentral is "partial 16S ribosomal RNA". It matches the Rfam family "Bacterial small subunit ribosomal RNA", at positions 58 to 339 of the family's 1533-position model. The record is from RNAcentral.